RNAcentral lists this long non-coding RNA (215 nucleotides) under Setaria viridis. Its description in RNAcentral is "long non-coding RNA (SVIR_LNC004584)". Lineage: Eukaryota; Viridiplantae; Streptophyta; Magnoliopsida; Poales; Poaceae. The record is from RNAcentral.
GAGAACGGAGGUGCCUCCGACCCCCUAAGGUAUGCCUAGCCGCUUGCUGAUAUUCUUCUAGCAUCUAGGACAGGCUGCACGCCAGUGAACCCAGAAGACUCAGAGAUGCCCUAUCGGUGGCCUCAUCCCUCUACCUGCACACGGAAACGUGAAGCCUGGAGUCCCAGGCAGCACAUAACGCGGGCCUUAUAGCCUGAGCACAGGGCUAAGCUGCG